GACACAUAAAUAUAAGGCUUCUAUCAAGGAUUAAGAUAGCAGCACUUCUUACAAUUUUCUCUCUUCUUGUAUUAAGAUCUAAUAUUCUCAAGGAUUAAGAUAGCAGCACUUCUUACAAUUUUGGUCAUUUUAUUGGAUUAUAUGAUGAUUUAUUAUACGUAUGAUAAAAUUUAAAAUGAUUUUUAUUAUACAUAAUAAUAAUGAUUGAGUUAAGAUAUUGCACGCACAAAGAGUUAAACUAAUAAAAUAAUUUACGUAAUACAAACAUUAUCAAUACAGCUAAACCAUAUUAUGUUUUAAGAAAUAUGUCUACUAUUUAAUAAUUAAAACCAAACAUUCAGUAUAUUAUAUUAUGCUUUAAUUAAUUCAAAACAUUAUAAUCAGGUGGCUAUGCCUUCGUAAGGCUCUAUAAAUAGCAACCAGCUUAACCAUGCAACACACCACGCACAAAACAAAACUUAACUCAAGAUGGGGAUGAAGAACAUGGCAGUACUUAAGUUUAUAGUUAUGUUCGCCUUUGUAAUUUUACUAAUCCAACUCGAAACUGCUCAAGCAUCUGACCCAUACCCGCUCUCUAACAUAAUGCUGGAAGGAAUCGGACGCAAUUCUCUACAAUGUGUUGGAUUCAAGGAACAAUGCGGCCCCUUAUACUGGUGUUGCGGAACUUGUUAUUGUGACUAUGUUUAUUCGGCGGGUAGAUUUCAAUGCACAACUGCGGCGUUCGAUACUUGGUGUGGUUAAAAAAAAUGCAAUAAUUCUAUAUAUUAUAAUAUUAUCCAACAUUUAAUAAAUCAUAUUGUUCUACAUCAGUGUGUUGUUGGCUUUUAAGGCCAUUAUAUUGUUAGUUGUUGUUGUUAUUAAUUUAAGUUGAAAAAUAUAUGCCAAGUAUCAUUAUGGUUAUUGUUAGUAAUUUUUGCUUAAAUUUUCGAUAUGAUGUUAUUUAAUUUUUGAUUUCUUUCUUAUGCUUAAUUAUUAAUAAUUCUUUAGGAGUAUAUAGUCUUGUUUUAUUUGGAAUAUGUAAUUUUAUUCAACUGAAAUUUAAGUUUGAUACUUGCUGUCCAGUUUUUUAAAUCUUUAGAUCCCUUCAACUACCCUAUGAAAAAUAAUUCAUUCGAUUUUUACUGUAGCAACUAGUGUUCAUCAACUGAUCGUAUUUGAUAUAUAAUUUUAAUAGUUUUAAACCCACGAAGAACCCAUUGUUGUUGCUCAUCUUAAACCCACGGAAAACCCACGAAAUUUUGGCUUAGUUCUUGCUCAUUUUCAAGGUUAUAGAAGAAGUAUUACCAUUAUGCUCCUUGUUAAGGAUUGCAUUCUACUGGGCUGCUGCUUCAAUUGGGUCGCCUGUCUCUGCCUUCGAUGAGGUGUUAGUCCCUUUUCCGGUGCUUCCGUGGACAAUUGACGUCCAGCUUGGGGCCGAUUGUUCUGAUGCCAUCGAAAGGCUAGGGGAAUUAAAGGAGCUGGGGUUAAGGGUGGAUGCGUUGAGCACGUCGCAAGUCUGGGCUGAAUCAAUCUCAGGCUGUUUUCCAGUGGUAGCCGGUGCCAACACUUGGUAGGUUCCACCAUGCCUGGCCAGCAAAGGGGAACCAGAGGGGAGGGCCUUUUAGAGAGAGAAACGGGGAGGUUAGAGAGUGUUUUAUUAUUAUUAUUAUUAUUAUUAUUAUUAUUAUUAUUAUUAUUAUUAUUAUCAUUAUUAUUGUUAUUAAUUAUUAUUAUUAUUAUUAUUAUUAUUAUUAUUAUUAUUACUA
Amaranthus tricolor (Joseph's coat) is the source of this 1745-nucleotide long non-coding RNA. RefSeq lists it as uncharacterized. The transcript has 2 exons. The record is from RefSeq and is a predicted model, not a curated record. NCBI's taxonomy places the organism in Eukaryota, Viridiplantae, Streptophyta, Magnoliopsida, Caryophyllales, Amaranthaceae.